GACGAACGCUGGCGGCGUGCUUAACACAUGCAAGUCGAACGGGAACGCCCUGCUUUUUUGGGGUGCUCUGGUUGGGAACGGGUGAGAAACACCUGAGUUACCUGCCCCUCUCUUCGUGAUAAAUUCCUGAAACUGGGGCUUAUACCGGAUAGUGGCUCCUGCUGCAUGUUGGGCGUUGCAGGGUUUCGUCGGUUGGGGGUGUACUCGCGGCUGAUUGGCUUGUUGGUGGGGUGGUGGCUUGCCGAGGCUUUGACGGGUAGCCGGCCUGAGAGGGUGACCGGCCACGUUGGGACUGAGAGACGGCGCAGACUCCGACGGGAGGCGGCAGUGGGGAAGAUUGCACAAGGGGCGGAGGCCUGAGGGAGCAACGCCGCGUGCGGGAUGACGGCCUUCGGGUUGUAAACCGCUGUCGCCUGUGAUGAAGCGUGGUUGACGGUAAUGGGUAAUGAAGCACCGGCUAACUACGUG
This 468-nucleotide ribosomal RNA is filed under the name uncultured bacterium. RNAcentral describes it as "partial 16S ribosomal RNA". It matches the Rfam family "Bacterial small subunit ribosomal RNA", at positions 28 to 507 of the family's 1533-position model. The record is from RNAcentral.